UUUUAACGAGGAACCAUUGGAGGGCAAGUCUGGUGCCAGCAGCCGCGGUAACUCCAGCUCCAAUAGCGUAUAUUAAAGUUGUUGCGGUUAAAAAGCUCGUAGUCGGAUGUCUGUCUUCGGCCGGGCGGCGCCGCUCUGAAUCAAGGGUGCGCGUUCUUUCGCUCUGGGAGACGGGUGUCAAAGCCCGACUCUCUUCACGGUCGGACAACAUCGCCGGAGUGGUGGCCGGUGGAUCGUCGGGUACGGGUGCGCGUAUACGAAUCGGCCUUCGGGUCUGUCUCUGUGCGCGUGCUUCCGGCGGUUCGCUCCACCCGUCAAUCGUCCGGGGUGCCCUUCACCGGGUGUCUCGGGCGGCCGGCAACGUUUACUUUGAACAAAUUAGAGUGCUCAAAGCAGGUGUAUCCCAACGCCUGAAUAUCGCAGCAUGGAAUGAUGGAAUAGGACCUCGGUCCGAUUUUGCUGGUCUUUUACUUUUGGACCCGAGGUAAUGGUCAAUAGAGACGGAC
This 506-nucleotide ribosomal RNA is filed under the name Simocephalus vetulus. RNAcentral's name for it is "SSU rRNA". It matches the Rfam family "Eukaryotic small subunit ribosomal RNA", at positions 532 to 883 of the family's 1831-position model. The record is from RNAcentral. Lineage: Eukaryota; Metazoa; Arthropoda; Branchiopoda; Diplostraca; Daphniidae.